AGCUCUCGUUGGUGACCAGCGGAGGGAUCAUUACCGAGUUUACAACUCCCAAACCCCUGUGAACAUACCACUUGUUGCCUCGGCGGAUCAGCCCGCUCCCGGUAAAACGGGACGGCCCGCCAGAGGACCCCUAAACUCUGUUUCUAUAUGUAACUUCUGAGUAAAACCAUAAAUAAAUCAAAACUUUCAACAACGGAUCUCUUGGUUCUGGCAUCGAUGAAGAACGCAGCAAAAUGCGAUAAGUAAUGUGAAUUGCAGAAUUCAGUGAAUCAUCGAAUCUUUGAACGCACAUUGCGCCCGCCAGUAUUCUGGCGGGCAUGCCUGUUCGAGCGUCAUUUCAACCCUCAAGCACAGCUUGGUGUUGGGACUCGCGUUAAUUCGCGUUCCUCAAAUUGAUUGGCGGUCACGUCGAGCUUCCAUAGCGUAGUAGUAAAACCCUCGUUACUGGUAAUCGUCGCGGCCACGCCGUUAAACCCCAACUUCUGAAUGUUGACCUCGGAUCAGGUAGGAAUACCCGCUGAACUUAAGCAUAUCA
Molecule: ribosomal RNA, 535 nt
Filed under: uncultured fungus
Lineage: Eukaryota; Fungi
Description: eukaryotic LSU rRNA
Rfam family: 5.8S ribosomal RNA (bases 182-335)
Source: RNAcentral